AGGUGAUCUGCCUGCCUCCGCCUCUCGAAGUGUUGGGAUUACAGGCGUGAGCCACUGCACUUGACCAGUUCUGCUUUAAUUUUAAUUUUUGGUAAAAUAGUAAUAUUCUUUUUUUGUUUUUUGAGAUGGAGUUUUGCUCUUGUUACCCAGGCUGGAGUGCAAUGGUAUGAUCUUGGCUCACCGCAACCUCUGCCUCCCAGGAGAAUGGCAUGAACCCAGGAAGCGGAGCUUGCAGUGAGCCGAGAUCGUGCCACCUCACUCCAGUCUGGGCGACAGAGCGAGACUCUGUCUCAAAACAAAACAAAACAAAACAAAAAAAACAAACAAAAAUUAUAUAUGUAUAUUUUUUAAUGGGUAUUUUAUUUAAAUAAAAAUACUGAAUGUAGUUUAGCAUUUUCUUGAUGACUCAGGCUCAUUGUAAUGACAGAUUGCAUUGUUUUUUAUAAUAAUCAUUCUCUGCCAGUGUUUUUCAUUUUUGUGCCCUACUAAUUUGAUUCUAGGUCCUGAAACAGUCAUUUUCUCUGUUACUGUAUCUGUCAAUAAUAGCCACUCCUUCCCUUUCUAGUUUGGUUUAACUGCUGUGGGUUGAGAAUGUAGAUUAGCAGGUUUUUGUUUAUAAUUAAAUAUUACAUAAGAAUCUAUUUUUUCUGUAUGAACCAAAGAGUCAAGAUUAAGAUUUUAAUGUUGAAUACUGUAAUAUUUAUUUAGUUUGAAAUUUCAGAUAAAUGGGUUAUUUAUUGAAUCAGUUGCCACCUUAGAAAUAUGAAAUGAGUGUCAUCUGGGCAGCUGACCAGUUAGGUUUAUAGUAUAGAAUGUGCGUAAAACACAUUAGGUUAUAACUCCAGUCAUA
This 850-nucleotide small RNA is filed under the name Pan troglodytes (chimpanzee). RNAcentral's name for it is "sense intronic". The record is from RNAcentral. Lineage: Eukaryota; Metazoa; Chordata; Mammalia; Primates; Hominidae.